This 2131-nucleotide ribosomal RNA is filed under the name Bos taurus (domestic cattle). RNAcentral describes it as "bacterial LSU rRNA". It matches the Rfam family "Bacterial large subunit ribosomal RNA", at positions 14 to 2199 of the family's 2925-position model. Lineage: Eukaryota; Metazoa; Chordata; Mammalia; Artiodactyla; Bovidae. The record is from RNAcentral.
AGUGCACAUGGUGGAUGCCUUGGCGAUUACAGGCGAUGAAGGACGUAGUAGCUUGCGAUAAGCUGCGGGGAGCUAGCAAACGAGCUUUGAUCCGCAGAUUUCCGAAUGGGGAAACCCGGCCUUUUAGGUCAUUGCAUGCUGAAUACAUAGGCAUGCAAAGCGAACGCGGCGAACUGAAACAUCUAAGUAGCUGCAGGAAAAGAAAUCAACCGAGAUUCCCAAAGUAGUGGCGAGCGAAAUGGGAUGAGCCUGUACGUGAUAGUCGGACUGAUAGCAGAAGCCUCUGGAAAGUGGCGCCAUAGUGGGUGAUAGCCCCGUAUGCGAAAUCAGACCGGUGGUACUAAGCGUACGACAAGUAGGGCGGGACACGAGAAAUCCUGUCUGAACAUGGGGGGACCAUCCUCCAAGGCUAAAUACUCGUAAUCGACCGAUAGUGAACCAGUACCGUGAGGGAAAGGCGAAAAGAACCCCGGGAGGGGAGUGAAAUAGAUCCUGAAACCGUGUGCAUACAAACAGUCGGAGCCUCUUCGUGGGGUGACGGCGUACCUUUUGUAUAAUGGGUCAGCGACUUACAUUCAGUGGCGAGGUUAACCGGAUAGGGGAGCCGUAGAGAAAUCGAGUCCGAACAGGGCGACAGUCGCUGGGUGUAGACCCGAAACCAAGUGAUCUACCCAUGGCCAGGAUGAAGGUGCGGUAACACGCCCUGGAGGUCCGAACCCACUAAUGUUGAAAAAUUAGGGGAUGAGCUGUGGGUAGGGGUGAAAGGCUAAACAAACUUGGAAAUAGCUGGUUCUCUCCGAAAACUAUUUAGGUAGUGCCUCAAGUAUCACCACCGGGGGUAGAGCACUGUUAUGGCUAGGGGGUCAUUGCGACUUACCAAACCAUUGCAAACUCCGAAUACCGGUGAGUGCGAGCUUGGGAGACAGACAUCGGGUGCUAACGUCCGGUGUCAAGAGGGAAACAACCCAGACCGCCAGCUAAGGUCCCAAAGAUUGGCUAAGUGGAAAACGAAGUGGGAAGGCUAAAACAGUCAGGAUGUUGGCUUAGAAGCAGCCACCAUUUAAAGAAAGCGUAAUAGCUCACUGAUCGAGUCGUCCUGCGCGGAAGAUGUAACGGGGCUAAGCCAGUCACCGAAGCUGCGGAUAUGUCUUUGACAUAUGGUAGGAGAGCGUUCUGUAAGCCUGCGAAGGUGUCUUGUAAAGGAUGCUGGAGGUAUCAGAAGUGCGAAUGCUGACAUGAGUAGCGAUAAUGCGGGUGAAAAGCCCGCACGCCGUAAGCCCAAGGUUUCCUGUUCAACGUUCAUCGGAGCAGGGUGAGUCGGCCCCUAAGGCGAGGCAGAGAUGCGUAGCUGAUGGGAAGCAGGUUAAUAUUCCUGCACCGUCGUAUGAUGCGAUGGGGGGACGGAUCGCGGAAGGUUGUCUAGCUGUUGGAAUAGCUAGUUUUUGACUCAUAGAAGGCGCUUAGGCAAAUCCGGGCGCGUAAUUCAAGGGGUUGAGACGAGCGCUCAUGUAGCGCGAAGCAAUCGGAAGUGGUUCCAAGAAAAGCCUCUAAGCUUCAGUCAUACGAGACCGUACCGCAAACCGACACAGGUGGGCGAGAUGAGUAUUCUAAGGCGCUUGAGAGAACUCGGGAGAAGGAACUCGGCAAAUUGGUACCGUAACUUCGGGAUAAGGUACGCCCUAGUAGCUUGAUUGGUUUACUCCAUGAGGGCCAAAGGGUUGCAAUAAAAUGGUGGCUGCGACUGUUUAAUAAAAACACAGCACUCUGCAAACACGAAAGUGGACGUAUAGGGUGUGACGCCUGCCCGGUGCUGGAAGAUUAAAUGAUGGGGUGCAAGCUCUUGAUUGAAGUCCCAGUAAACGGCGGCCGUAACUAUAACGGUCCUAAGGUAGCGAAAUUCCUUGUCGGGUAAGUUCCGACCUGCACGAAUGGAGUAACGAUUUCCCUACUGUCUCCACCAUGAACUCGGUGAAAUUGCAUUACGAGUAAAGAUGCUCGUUACGCGCAGAAGGACGGAAAGACCCCGGGACCUUUACUAUAGUUUGGUAUUGGUGAUUGGGACGGUUUGUGUAGGAUAGGUGGGAGACGUUGAUGCGGCCACGCUAGUGGUGGUGGAGUCGUUGGUGAAAUA